This 366-nucleotide ribosomal RNA is filed under the name uncultured bacterium. RNAcentral's name for it is "bacterial SSU rRNA". It matches the Rfam family "Bacterial small subunit ribosomal RNA", at positions 28 to 391 of the family's 1533-position model. The record is from RNAcentral.
GAUGAACGCUAGCGGCAGGCUUAAUACAUGCAAGUCGUGGGGCAGCAGGGGUAGCAAUACCCGCUGGCGACCGGCAAACGGGUGCGGAACACGUACGCAACCUUCCUUUAACUGGAGAAUAGCCCCUCGAAAGAGGGAUUAAUACUCCGUAACAUAUUGAUAAGGCAUCUUAUUACUAUUAUAGCUCCGGCGGUUAAAGAUGGGCGUGCGCCUGAUUAGAUAGUUGGCAGGGUAACGGCCUACCAAGUCUGCGAUCAGUAACUGGUGUGAGAGCACGACCAGUCACACGGGCACUGAGACACGGGCCCGACUCCUACGGGAGGCAGCAGUAAGGAAUAUUGGUCAAUGGACGCAAGUCUGAACCAG